Molecule: ribosomal RNA, 468 nt
Filed under: uncultured bacterium
Lineage: Bacteria
Description: partial 16S ribosomal RNA
Rfam family: Bacterial small subunit ribosomal RNA
Source: RNAcentral
GACGAACGCUGGCGGCGUGCUUAACACAUGCAAGUCGAACGGAAAGGCCCUGCUUUUGUGGGGUUCUCGAGUGGCGAACGGGUGAGUAACACGGGAGUAACCUGCCCUUGACUUUGGGAUAACUUCAGGAAAAUGGGGCUAAUACCGGGUAGGAGCUCCUGCUGCAUGGUGGGGGUUGGAAAGUUUCGGCGGUUGGGGAUGGACUCGCGGCUUAUCAGCUUGUUGGUGGGGUAGUGGCUUACCAAGGCUUUGACGGGUAGCCGGCCUGAGAGGGUGACCGGCCACAUUGGGACUGAGAUACGGCCCAGACUCCUACGGGAGGCAGCAGUGGGGAAUAUUGCACAAUGGGCGGAAGCCUGAUGCAGCAACGCCGCGUGCGGGAUGACGGCCUUCGGGUUGUAAACCGCUUUCGCCUGUGACGAAGCGUGAGUGACGGUAAUGGGUAAAGAAGCACCGGCUAACUACGUG